Molecule: long non-coding RNA, 405 nt
Filed under: Gossypium raimondii (Peruvian cotton)
Lineage: Eukaryota; Viridiplantae; Streptophyta; Magnoliopsida; Malvales; Malvaceae
Description: long non-coding RNA (GRAI_LNC002967)
Source: RNAcentral
AGGGAGUAGGGGCAGUAUUAGACUUUUAUAGGAUAAGGAAAUUAUACGGGAGGGCAUGAAGCUAACAAAAUAAUUGUAAAUAAAAUUAUUGAACAGAAAAAGUGGAAGGUAACUGAGAAAACCUCAAGGAAAUAGUUGAAGAAGCAAGGAAUGUCUAAAAAGCAGUGAAACAUGAAACUUGCUUUUUUUUUUUUUUUGAAUUUACUUUUUAGGCAUGAACGCAAAGCAGAAUCCUUGGAGAUAAUGGUGAUUGUGUUGACAGGUGAGAGUAAAUAGGACACCCCCUAGGCAAGGGCACCUAUGAAUAUGAUCCCUACACGUAUGCAAGAGGACAAAAUGCCUUUAUAAAUUAUCCUUGGGGGUUCAAGCUUGGGCUUGUGAACAUGAAAAGAGAAAAUGUGCAGC